This 253-nucleotide ribosomal RNA is filed under the name uncultured bacterium. RNAcentral's name for it is "partial 16S ribosomal RNA". It matches the Rfam family "Bacterial small subunit ribosomal RNA", at positions 524 to 776 of the family's 1533-position model. The record is from RNAcentral.
UACAGAGGAUGCAAGCGUUGCUCGGAAUCACUGGGCGUAAAGGGCGCGUAGGCGGGAUGGCAAGUCGGUCGUGAAAUCCUUCGGCCCAACCGAAGAACGUCGGCCGAUACUGCCAUUCUUGAGGGAUGCAGAGGAGACUGGAAUUCCCGGUGUAGCGGUGAAAUGCGCAAAUAUCAGGAGGAACACCAAUUGCGAAGGCAGCUCGCUGGGACGUUACUGACGCUGAGACGCGAAAGCGUGGGGAGCAAACAGG